Molecule: ribosomal RNA, 486 nt
Filed under: uncultured Pseudomonadota bacterium
Lineage: Bacteria; Pseudomonadati; Pseudomonadota
Description: bacterial SSU rRNA
Rfam family: Bacterial small subunit ribosomal RNA (bases 55-486)
Source: RNAcentral
CAACGCGUGGGAGCUCUCCCAUAUGGUCGACCUGCAGGCGGCCGCGAAUUCACUAGUGAUUAGAGUUAUCGCGGCUCAGAUUGAACGCUAGUCGAAUUCUUAACACAUGCAAGUCGAGCGGUAACAUGCGUAGUCGUGCACGAGCGGCGAACGGUGAGUAAUGCUUCGGAAUCUUCCUCGUAGUGGGGAACAACCUGGGGAAACUCAGGCUAAUACCGCAUACGAACUACGGUUGAAAGCAGGGGAUCGCAAGACCUUGCGCUAUGAGAUGAGCCGAAGUCGGAUUAGCUAGUUGGUGGGGUAAAGGCCUACCAAGGCGACGAUCCGUAGCUGGUCUGAGAGGACGACCAGCCACACUGGAACUGAGACACGGUCCAGACUCCUACGGGAGGCAGCAGUGGGGAAUAUUGGACAAUGGGGGCAACCCUGAUCCAGCGACGCCUUUUAGGGGACAUAAAGCACACUAAUACUCUUGAUUUAACCCAU